RNAcentral lists this ribosomal RNA (756 nucleotides) under Lotharella globosa. RNAcentral describes it as "partial Bacterial large subunit ribosomal RNA". It matches the Rfam family "Bacterial large subunit ribosomal RNA", at positions 329 to 1094 of the family's 2925-position model. Lineage: Eukaryota; Cercozoa; Chlorarachniophyceae. The record is from RNAcentral.
CAACCGGAACUGUUUGGAAAGACAGGCCAUAGUGGGUGACAGCCCCGUACGGGUAAUUCAAUCAUCAGUCCUCGAGUAGGGCGGGACACGUGAAAUCCUGUCUGAACGUGGGGGGACCACCCUCCAAGCCUAAGUACUCCUUGACGACCGAUAGUGAACCAGUACCGUGAGGGAAAGGUGAAAAGCACCCCGACGAGGGGAGUGAAAGAGACCUGAAACCGGAUGCUUACAAGCAGUGGGAGCCUCCUUGAGGGGUGACCGCGUACCUUUUGUAUAAUGGGUCAGCGAGUUGAUUUUGCGAGCAAGCUUAAGCCGUUAGGUGUAGGCGGAGCGAAAGCGAGUGUUAAUAGCGCGAUGUAGUUCGUAGGAUCAGACCCGAAACCCGGUGAUCUAGCCAUGAGCAGGUUGAAGGCGGGGUAACACCCGCUGGAGGACCGAACCCACCUAUGUUGAAAAAUGGGGGGAUGACUUGUGGUUAGGGGUGAAAGGCCAAUCAAACCGGGUAAUAGCUGGUUCUCCGCGAAAACUAUUUAGGUAGUGCGUCACGUAUUACCGCCGGGGGUAGAGCACUGGAUGGGCUAGGGGGUCCCACAGACUUACCAAACCUAACCAAACUCCGAAUACCGAUGAGUAUAAGCAUGGCAGACAGACGGCGGGUGCUAAGGUCCGUCGUCGAAAGGGAAACAGCCCAGACCACCAGCUAAGGUCCCCAAAUCACGACUAAGUGGGAAAGGAUGUGGGAAGGCCAAGACAACC